Molecule: long non-coding RNA, 205 nt
Filed under: Elaeis guineensis (African oil palm)
Lineage: Eukaryota; Viridiplantae; Streptophyta; Magnoliopsida; Arecales; Arecaceae
Description: long non-coding RNA (EGUI_LNC007703)
Source: RNAcentral
AGCGUCCCCGGCAAAGCCGAUCAAGGGCAUGGAGACCCUCUUAAGUCGGUCGGUUGACAGUUGCAUCCGGGAGAAGGUCGAGUAAAAUAAAAUAUUUGUCGAACUUCCAUUAUCAACAAAAAUUCUUUUUACAUCAUAGUUUGCUAUUGUUGCCGAAACAACAACAGCAUCGUCGUGGGGAGUUUGGAUGCCCCGAACGUCUUCC